This 253-nucleotide ribosomal RNA is filed under the name uncultured bacterium. RNAcentral's name for it is "partial 16S ribosomal RNA". It matches the Rfam family "Bacterial small subunit ribosomal RNA", at positions 524 to 776 of the family's 1533-position model. The record is from RNAcentral.
UACGUAGGGACCAAGCGUUGUUCGGAUUUACUGGGCGUAAAGGGCGCGUAGGCGGCUUGUCAAGUCACUUGUGAAAUCUCUGGGCUUAACCCAGAACGGCCAAGUGAAACUGUCAUGCUAGAGUGCGGAAGGGGCAACUGGAAUUCUUGGUGUAGCGGUGAAAUGCGUAGAUAUCAAGAGGAACACCUGCGGCGAAGGCGGGUUGCUGGGCCGACACUGACGCUGAGGCGCGAAAGCCAGGGGAGCGAACGGG